UGCUAUUAUUUGUAUAAACACAGCUGCAAGUCACAAAAAAGCAAUUCAUCCAAUACUCGAUCCGAUACUCGAGAAGAAAAUCUUAUUGUACAAGGUCCUAGCAGUAGAACAAGAUCCCAUUCAACUAGCUCAGAAUCAUCUUCGAGUUCAUCAUCAAUAAGUUCAAGUUCAUCAUCUUCAUCUAGUUCAUUUGAAUCGGGUAAGGACUUCUCCGCUGAUGAAGCAGAUUGCGAUCCUGAUUACGUACCGGCAACCCCACCUAGGCAUAUAUCAUUUAGCCCAACACCUCAAAGUAGUAUUUCUAUGCAACUGUUAGUUGAAAAAAAAGGAUAAUUUGGGUUCUCCAAAAGAUAACAGAACUCCGAAAAAACGAAGUCGCAAAGGGUUUAAAAAACUAUCAGUGAUGCAAGAUGCUAAAAAACUUCGUAAUAGUGGUCAGCAAUAUACUUCAGUUUCCAAGUAUAAAAAAGUCAUGCCAAAGAAGCAGAUAGGACCACCAUGUAGGGAAAAAUGUAGAUUAAAGUGCAGCGAAAUAAUCAAACAGGAAGACCGAGAAAUAAUUUUUGACAAUUUUUGGAAAAUGGGAGACAUAUCUAGACAAAGAAAUUAUAUUGCAAAAUGUAUUGAGGUUAUUAAACCCAGAUAUCAGUAAAAACUUCAUUACAGUAAUAGAGGACCUAAACAUUCAUUUUCAUUCCAGAUCAAUAAUUGUAAGCGCCGUGUAUGUAAAACUUUCUUUAAAAACACAUUGGCUAUUAGUAAUCGACCUAUCGCAACUGUUAUAUCAAAAAAAACCAAUCGGGAACAGUUGACGAAGAACUAAGGGGUAAACAUGGGAAACACAACAAAGUCAGCUUAGAUAUCAUUAAAAGCAUAAAAAAGCAUAUAGACUCAAUCCCAAGGAUAUAUACUGAUUGAUAUUAUUAUUCCAAGUGAUUGUCAGGAUCUCUCUUUAUUUUGUAAUAAAACAUUAUUAAUUAAAUGUUAGUUUUUAUUUAAAUUUAUUUAGUAAUAUUAUAACACCGCAUUAAUGCCAACAGCUUGUACAAAUCAUCCAUCCCGAGCGGGAAUCGAACCCGCACACCAUCGGUGUUUUAGGCGACUACACGCAUCACUACACCAGAGUGGUUGCUAUUUAAUAUUAUACCAUAAUGAACAAAUAAAAUUAAUUGUAAAGUGUUACUAUAAUAAUAUAAAUCAAAAUAAAUAAUGCUGUAAAUAAAAAAAAAUACUUUUUUAAAUCACAUGUCAUAAUAUAAACAGAGAUCUAUCAUAGGAUCUCAUUAAAUAUCUUAAAGAAUCCCGAACUCAGACUCUAUUGAGAAAAAACAGUG
RNAcentral lists this unclassified non-coding RNA (1334 nucleotides) under Melitaea cinxia (Glanville fritillary). RNAcentral describes it as "misc RNA ENSMCXG00005001905.1". Lineage: Eukaryota; Metazoa; Arthropoda; Insecta; Lepidoptera; Nymphalidae. The record is from RNAcentral.